GUUCUCCCUGAGUCCAUCUCACAGUUGCAGAGAAUUAAAGGGAUGGUGUGCUUAAAGAAAAAUGAUGUAGCACCUGGAGCUGCCAUCAGAAGGAUAACACUUGAAGAGGCAAAAAAAAAACAGGGAAAGUUUUCAUUUUGUAUGUUCUUGCACUUUCUCUCCAUAUACUCCGAACAAUGCCAGCUACAGCAUUAAGCUUAGUUCAGUCUAACCCGUCAUGAACGUUACAUAUUAGACAGACAUGGUUGCUGUCUCCCCCCCCCCCCCCGUCAUAGAACGUAAUAGUACAGUAGGAACCCAGAACAUAAAAGAGGGGCCCUGAUGGCCGUGAGGCCCUAAGCAGCCACAUAUGUUGAUUAUUAGGUAGAGCCAGCACUGUCUACAUUUUUAUUUCUUUGUUCUCCAAAAUAUAUUCCUUUCAUACCUCCAA
Molecule: long non-coding RNA, 430 nt
Organism: Pygocentrus nattereri (red-bellied piranha)
Lineage: Eukaryota; Metazoa; Chordata; Actinopteri; Characiformes; Serrasalmidae
Exons: 2
Source: RefSeq, a predicted model, not a curated record